RNAcentral lists this unclassified non-coding RNA (683 nucleotides) under Hevea brasiliensis (rubber tree). The record is from RNAcentral. Lineage: Eukaryota; Viridiplantae; Streptophyta; Magnoliopsida; Malpighiales; Euphorbiaceae.
AAGUUUAGCCAAACCAAAGUCUCCAACAACAGCCUCAAAUUCUUCAUCUAGCAAUAUAUUUGCAGCCUUCACAUCACGAUGGAUAAUCUUAGGGUCACAAUGAUCAUGCAAAUACGAUAAUCCCCUGGCAGACCCCAAAGCAAUACGUUUUCGCGUUGGCCAAUCAAGUGGUGGUUCAGAAGGCGGUCGUUCUCUCAGGCAUGAUGCAACACUUCCAUUCGCCAUGUAGGGGUAGACAAGCAGUCUUUCAGUUGGUGUCAUACAGAAACCACGCAAUCGUAGAAGAUUCCUAUGCACUGCCAUGCUAAUCAUCUCAACUUCUGUUUGAAAUUGCAACUCCCCUCCAGGAGUACGCUCUUCCUUUAGCCGCUUAACAGCCACCAAUGAUCCAUCUGCUAAGCGUCCUUUGUAUACCUUACCAAAUCCACCUCGACCCAGUAUAUUUUUAUUGCUAAAACUGUCAGUUGCAACUUGUAGCUCUCGGAGGGAGAACCUUUUCAGUUGACCUAAGUGAACUUCAGGAUCUUCUUCGGCUGGUACGUCAAAGAAAUAUUCUUGUGGCUUUCUACGGCGCCACCAGGCAAAUGCAAUGGCAGGAGCAGCAAAUAGUAGAGCAGCACCAGCAGCUACACCUCCAGCAAUUGCUCCAGUUGCACCAUUUCCUCCUGGAGCAGAAAUUGGUG